GUGUCAACAGGAAUUGGAAAGUAAAUAAAUAAAAACAGACGAAGAAAACGGAAAAUUUGGGAAGCAUUAUUUACUCCUUCACAGAGAAAAAAGGGUUCAUUUGUUAUUUAGCAAGUUGACUGAAAUAAACGGUAACGGUUUAUGGAAGUACACACAAUAUAACGUAGAACGUGUUCCUGUAUAGGCCUAUAUAUAAUUUAUGAUAUUGCUGAGACUAUUAUUAGAAAUAAAGCUAAAUGGAAUCAGAAGACAGUACUUUAUUUCCAAAUUGGGAUGAUGAAAUGAGUGAUUCCGAUCAGAUAACACUAACCACCUCCAUCAUCAGUGUAGUUGUAUUCUCUAUAAUAGUAAGUCUAGGUAUCCUUUGUUGUUGCUGCUGCUGUAGAAAAAGACGUAACUAUGGCGGCACUGUUUAUCGUGAGGCGCCACAGAAUACUACGACUAUAACAACUUAUCCGCAGCAGAGUGUCCAAUACCCAACGCAGGCACCGUAUCUUGGUGCUCAACCAGUGCCACCCGGACAAUAUAUGCCACCCGGACAAUAUAUGCCACCCCAACAACAGCCAUACUAUCCACCACAAGGUCAACCAUCUUAUCAACAAGGUUAUCUACCACCUCAAUAUCCUACAGCCCCACCCCAACAAUAUCCUCCCUAUCCACAGGCUGGUUAUCAACAACAAACAUUUCAAAAAGUAAUGUCGGAACCACCUCCACCAUACAGUGAUGCUCCACUCAUGCAGAAAGCCUCAGCACCACCUCCUGAAUAAAUAUGAUAAGUUGUUAAUAUUUAAAGUAAGACAUGCAUGAUUUGCAUUUUUGGGAAAAUAUCAAAUUUUGCGUGGUUUAAUCCAUGGGAAUUUGUACUCAGAUUGAUUACCUAAUAUUUAAUUAACCCUUUAUUAACCGUCAGACGUUCCAUAUGGAAUAUUUCAGGAGGCCAUUUUGCAGGUCAUGACAUAUAAGUAAAAGUGACAAAAAAUGUUAAAUAUGUUAUACCAUUCAAUAGAGGAAUUCAAGAUCUUUUCAAAAAUAUAUAUUUGUAUGAUUUAUUCUUAAAUUUAAAGAGUUACAGGAUAUAUUCUUAACUAUAUGCUUUUUUCUAGUCGAAACACCAAAACAAUCCAACGGUUAAAGGGUUCAGAAAACAAAUUCGUCAUAACUUUGUAAAUACUGAACAGAAUCAAGCCACAAUUGGGCUGAUAUAACUAUUAGAUCUCCAACUUUCACAAUAUUGUUGUUUGCAAGGGAUUCCUAUAGCUCACUAAAAUAACGCAUAGAGUUUUUAAGUAUCGUAAAUUGAAAUUAUGUACAUACAUGUCUUAUAGAUUAAUCAUUCUCAUCUCCAUUGGUUUCAUAUUAUAUCCUACACCAUUAUUUGAGAAAUCUGUAUUUAAAUUGUGUGUGCUUGUAGUAACUUACAAUUAUUAAUUCAUGAUUAUCCAGGUUUUCAGAAUUGCUAAUGUUGGUCUUACACAGUGGCGAAUAUUGUGGCAAAAAGGAUUUAUAAGAAAUUUGCAAGAAUUUAAUAAGAAAUUUGCAAGGCUUUGUACGAAAUUUGCAAGGAUACAGAAGAAAUUCGCAAAUAUUGAUAAACAUUUUUUCAGCAUUUCUCUAGGCCUAUAUUAUAAUUUUUGGUGAAUUUGCCGUGAAUUUAAAAUGAUCACAUUGACAACGAUAUUCUUCACUGUGUGAGAGUAGCAGAAGAUAAUGUGGGCAAGAUAAUCAGGUCUUUAUCUCAAUAUCAUAAACCAAAUCAAAAUCUAUGUUCAUAAGGAAAACAAUUCACCGGUAAAUUCACAGUAGAUUAAACCGAUGCACAUUGCUCAAUGGAUACUAUAUAACCAGAAACGAAAUGUAGAAUCCCAAGUACUUUUUAUUAGAUCACAAAUGUUUAUGUUUCAGUGAUUUCAUUUUUGGUAUAUAUUUUGAAGUUUUUAAUAAACUAUAACAUAUACGUAUGGCAAACCAGCUACUUAUUUAUUUAGUUAAUUAGUUUGUUUUUGUAGAUUGUCAUUCCCUCGAGUCCAUGUCCUUUGAUCUUGUUGUUGUCAUGUAUGAGGGGGGUGGAUGGCCAAAUGGUCAGCACUGUAUCAUAGGGUCUGUCAUUGAGUCAACUGGCAUGGUUUUGAUUCCCUAGUGGUACGUGACAAGGAGUAGGGUCGCCUGUCCAACCUUGUGGGUUUUCUCCAUGUUAGUCCCGAAAUGACCUAGUUUGUGUCAAGUGGACUUAAAGCCAUUUCCCUCUCUCUCUCUCCCUUGUCAUGUAUGGUUUCAUGAAUUGUUGUUAGGCAGUAGCUGUCUUUCCAUAAGUAUGUGUUAUAGUUUAUUAUUUUAUCCAGUUACUAAAUGCCUCUAAAAGAUUCUAUUUAUAGUAUUUUAAGGUAAAAAAUUAUAAAUUCUAAUUUUAGGGGAUGUAAAUUGACUGGUCAUUUUCACUACUAGUCAAAUGAAGAUUAGUAAAUUUGACAUUCAAUAUUUGAGAGGUCCCUCCAAAAACAUAACUUUUCAAAUUUCACAAAGAAAAUGUAAACAUAUAUAGAGUUAGUCUCCACACAAAUCAAUCAACAUUAUUCAACAUUUUAUUUUUCUGUCGAUAGUCCUAUUUUUAGGAUUAAAAUUGUUUUAUGUACUUGGUUAAAGACUUAAAGUUACAUUAUAAGAGAGUAUAUAUUCAUAUAUAUGUGCCAAAUAGAACUAAAUAAUCCCACCAGCUGUUAUUUCAUUAAAUAAAUGAAAUGAAAUGAAAUGGGGUUUAACGUCCCACUGUUCUGCUCCUAAACUGGGCUAAUGAAGACGGGCAUACGCCAUACAGUGUGCUAUGAGAGAAAUUUUGCCCGGGCAGCGGCACUAUGGCCUACUCUUAUAUCGAAUUCCAACUCCCACCAGCUGUUAUUUCAUUAAAUAAAUGAAAUGAAAUGAAAUGGGGUUUAACGUCCUACUGUUCUGCUCCUAAACUGGGCUAAUGAAGAUGGGCAUACGCCAUACAGUGUGCUAUGAGAGAAAUUUUGCCCGGGCAGCGGCACUAUGGCCUACUCUUAUAUCGAAUUCCAACUGCCAAGGGAUCUUUUACGUGCACGCCAAUGUGUACACAGGACCUCAUUUUUUCGUACAAUCCGAAUGACUAGACAGCAGUCCUUGUCAGGCCCUUCAUUAAAUAAAGGUUAUGAUUCAGACUCAAUUUUGUCUGUUAAAAAUAACCAUUGAUUAUUCACUACAACUUGGGAAUCAUUUAGUUGUAUUUUUUUAACAGGAGUUUUUGUAUUUAAUGUUUAGUUUCAACUUUCAAGCCAUUGUUGGAAAA
Patella vulgata (common limpet) is the source of this 3301-nucleotide long non-coding RNA. RefSeq lists it as uncharacterized. Lineage: Eukaryota; Metazoa; Mollusca; Gastropoda; Patellidae. The transcript has 4 exons. The record is from RefSeq and is a predicted model, not a curated record.